RNAcentral lists this transfer RNA (73 nucleotides) under Limosilactobacillus oris. RNAcentral describes it as "tRNA-Gln". It matches the Rfam family "tRNA". From Rfam's summary of the family: Transfer RNA (tRNA) molecules are approximately 80 nucleotides in length. The record is from RNAcentral. RNAcentral also lists the same sequence under 1 other name. Lineage: Bacteria; Bacillati; Bacillota; Bacilli; Lactobacillales; Lactobacillaceae.
UGCGGAGUAGCCAAGUUGGUAAGGCAACGGUUUUUGGUGCCGUCACUCACAGGUUCGAGUCCUGUCCCCGCAA